GACGAACGCUGGCGGCGUGCUUAACACAUGCAAGUCGAACGGAAAGGCCCUGCUUUUGUGGGGUGCUCGAGUGGCGAACGGGUGAGUAACACGUGAGUAACCUGCCCUUGACUUUGGGGUAACUUCAGGAAACUGGGGCUAAUACCGGAUAGGAGCUCCUGCUGCAUGGUGGGGGUUGGAAAGUUUCGGUGGUUGGGGAUGGACUGGCGGCUUAUCAGAUUGUUGGUUGGGUAGUGGCUUACCAAGGCUUUGACGGGUGGCCGGGCUGAGAGGGUGACCGGCCACGUUGGGAUUGGGAUGCGGCACAGACUCCAACGGGAGGCAGCGGUGGGGAAUAGUGUAUAAUGGGCGGAAGCCUGAUGCAGCAACGCCGCGUGGGGGAUGAGGGCCUUCGGGUUGUAAUCCGCUUUCGCCUGUGACGAAGCGUUAGUGACGGUAAUGGGUAAAGAAGCACCGGCUAACUACGUG
RNAcentral lists this ribosomal RNA (468 nucleotides) under uncultured bacterium. Its description in RNAcentral is "partial 16S ribosomal RNA". It matches the Rfam family "Bacterial small subunit ribosomal RNA", at positions 28 to 507 of the family's 1533-position model. The record is from RNAcentral.